This 1197-nucleotide long non-coding RNA is filed under the name Pan troglodytes (chimpanzee). RNAcentral describes it as "long non-coding RNA NONPTRT014256". Lineage: Eukaryota; Metazoa; Chordata; Mammalia; Primates; Hominidae. The record is from RNAcentral.
UGUCGCCCAGGCUGGAGUGCAACAGUGCGAUCUUGGCUCACCGCAACCUCCGCCUUCCGGGUUCAAGUGAUUCUCCUGCCUCAGCCUCCUGAGUAGCUGGGAUUAUAGGCAUGCACCACCAUGCCCACCUAAUUUUCGUAUUUUUAGUAGAGACGGGGUUUCUCCAUGUUGGUCAGGCUGGUCUCAAACUCCUAACCUCAGGUGAUCCGCCCACCUCAGCAGAUUACUUUUUUAUAAUUUUAUUUCUCUGGUCUGAUUCAUUCUUUAAGGAGCUAUCCCACAGUUUCUGAACAGGGAACUAGAGGAUUUGGGACCAGGAGCAAGAUUAAGUGCAGUGGGGGAAGGGAGGGAGAGAAGAGUUGCCUGGAGCUCACUGCAAUGAGGGUUUCAAAUGCAACAGGGCAAUAGGGCAGGUGUGAGGCAUCUGAGCCCAGAGUGAGCCAAGAAUAAGCACAGCAGGGAAGGGAGGGAGGAAAGACUGCUACUCCCACUUGCACACACUCCCAGUAUGGUCUCCCGGAGAGACAGCUGUGACCCUUGCCAGGUACCACAUCCUUGUAUUAGGUUCUUCUUGGCCUCUUAGAGCAGGACUGUGUGAGAAUCCUGACUGCACAAGAAACUAAGGUUAGGUAAAUUAGAGACAGCCCAAUGUGGAGUCCUGGGGGUGGGUGGCUGGCACAAGGCCCUGGACUCCUUCCCUGCAGGAGCCAGGCAGCCUUUCUUCCUUCCACGGUCACAGAAGGUGCUGUGCUCAACUGCCUGGCAGAAGGUCUGGUUGGAAUGUGCUUGGAAGUUUCUCACCAGUGUGGAAGUUCCUUGAAUGUAGAGGAAGUUCCCCCCAGCACCGCGUUUUCAGGCCUCAUGAGUGUCCAGUAAACACUGACGAAGCUGAGGAGCAGCGGAAGACAGCAGAGAGGUGAGUGCGGAAUUUGUGGGAUGCAGAUGGCUGCACAGUGCAGCCUCAGUCAGAACACAGGACAUUAGCUUCAUAGGGAAUUUUCUACCCUGGUAGUCAGGAUUUUGCUCCUGACCAAGAAAACAACAAAAAGAAAACCAUACAAUAGAACUUAUGGAUGAACUGACACACUCCACCACCCGUACUUCAUCUGAAUAUGUUUAUUAGCCUCACAUCUUCCUUGAGUCCUGGGCUAUCCUCCUGUUCCUCCUCCCCAUGCCCUCCCUGCGGGCUGCUCCCAG